RNAcentral lists this ribosomal RNA (1480 nucleotides) under metagenome. RNAcentral describes it as "bacterial SSU rRNA". It matches the Rfam family "Bacterial small subunit ribosomal RNA". The record is from RNAcentral.
AGAGUUUGAUCCUGGCUCAGGAUGAACGCUGGCGGCGUGCUUAACACAUGCAAGUCGAGCGAAGCGCUUAAGUUUGAUUCUACGGAUGAAGACUUUUGUGACUGAGCGGCGGACGGGUGAGUAACGCGUGGGUAACCUGCCUCAUACAGGGGGAUAACAGUUAGAAAUGGCUGCUAAUACCGCAUAAGACCACAGUACUGCAUGGUAUAGUGGUAAAAACUCCGGUGGUAUGAGAUGGACCCGCGUCUGAUUAGGUAGUUGGUGAGGUAACGGCCCACCAAGCUGACGAUCAGUAGCCGACCUGAGAGGGUGACCGGCCACAUUGGGACUGAGACACGGCCCAGACUCCUACGGGAGGCAGCAGUGGGGAAUAUUGCACAAUGGGCGAAAGCCUGAUGCAGCGACGCCGCGUGAAGGAUGAAGUAUUUCGGUAUGUAAACUUCUAUCAGCAGGGAAGAAAAUGACGGUACCUGACUAAGAAGCCCCGGCUAACUACGUGCCAGCAGCCGCGGUAAUACGUAGGGGGCAAGCGUUAUCCGGAUUUACUGGGUGUAAAGGGAGCGUAGACGGCUGUGCAAGUCUGAAGUGAAAGGCAUGGGCUCAACCUGUGGACUGCUUUGGAGACUGUGCAGCUAGAGUGUCGGAGAGGUAAGUGGAAUUCCUAGUGUAGCGGUGAAAUGCGUAGAUAUUAGGAGGAACACCAGUGGCGAAGGCGGCUUACUGGACGAUGACUGACGUUGAGGCUCGAAAGCGUGGGGAGCAAACAGGAUUAGAUACCCUGGUAGUCCACGCCGUAAACGAUGACUGCUAGGUGUCGGGUAGCAAAGCUAUUCGGUGCCGCAGCUAACGCAAUAAGCAGUCCACCUGGGGAGUACGUUCGCAAGAAUGAAACUCAAAGGAAUUGACGGGGGCCCGCACAAGCGGAGGAACAUGUGGUUUAAUUCGAUGAUACGCGAGGAACCUUACCCGGGCUUGAACUGCAGGCGAACGAUUCAGAGAUGAUGAGGCCCUUCGGGGCGCCUGUGGAGGUGCUGCAUGGUUGUCGUCAGCUCGUGCCGUGAGGUGUCGGCUUAAGUGCCAUAACGAGCGCAACCCUUGUUCGUAGUUGCCAUCGGGUUAUGCCGGGCACUCUGCGAAGACUGCCUCCGUAAGGAGUGAGGAAGGUGGGGAUGACGUCAAAUCAGCACGGCCCUUACGUCCGGGGCUACACACGUGUUACAAUGGCAUGUACAGAAAGCUGGGUGUAUGCAAAUACGCUCGAAUCCCUAAAACAUGUCUCAGUUCGGACUGGGGUCUGCAACCCGACCCCACGAAGCUGGAUUCGCUAGUAAUCGCGCAUCAGCCAUGGCGCGGUGAAUACGUUCCCGGGCCUUGUACACACCGCCCGUCAAGCCAUGAAAGCCGGGGGCGCCUAAAGUCCGUGACCGCGAGGGUCGGCCUAGGGUGAAACCGGUGAUUGGGGCUAAGUCGUAACAAGGUA